This 309-nucleotide ribosomal RNA is filed under the name uncultured bacterium. RNAcentral's name for it is "bacterial SSU rRNA". It matches the Rfam family "Bacterial small subunit ribosomal RNA", at positions 504 to 812 of the family's 1533-position model. The record is from RNAcentral.
CGUGCCAGCAGCCGCGGUAAUACGUAGGGUGCGAGCGUUAAUCGGAAUUACUGGGCGUAAAGCGUGCGCAGGCGGUUUCGUAAGACAGACGUGAAAUCCCCGGGCUCAACCUGGGAACUGCGUUUGUGACUGCGAGGCUAGAGUUUGGCAGAGGGGGGUGGAAUUCCACGUGUAGCAGUGAAAUGCGUAGAGAUGUGGAGGAACACCGAUGGCGAAGGCAGCCCCCUGGGCCAAUACUGACGCUCAUGCACGAAAGCGUGGGGAGCAAACAGGAUUAGAUACCCUGGUAGUCCACGCCGUAAACGAUGA